UGGCUCUUGUCGGAGCGCCUUCGGGCUGAGACUACUGAGUUUGCAAUAUGAUCACCCAAUAACAGGUGUUUUUUGUACAGCAAAGUGGAAUCCGUGGAACCUGAUUGGGUUAAUACCUGCGUAGGAAACAAGCAUAAAGAAAAU
This 144-nucleotide non-coding RNA is filed under the name Psychromonas ingrahamii. Its description in RNAcentral is "TPP sequence". It matches the Rfam family "TPP riboswitch aptamer (THI element)". From Rfam's summary of the family: Vitamin B(1) in its active form thiamin pyrophosphate (TPP) is an essential coenzyme that is synthesised by coupling of pyrimidine and thiazole moieties in bacteria. The previously detected thiamin-regulatory element, thi box was extended, resulting in a new, highly conserved RNA secondary structure, the THI element, which is widely distributed in eubacteria and also occurs in some archaea. Lineage: Bacteria; Pseudomonadati; Pseudomonadota; Gammaproteobacteria; Alteromonadales; Psychromonadaceae. The record is from RNAcentral. RNAcentral also lists the same sequence under 1 other name.